AAAUUGAAGAGUUUGAUCAUGGCUCAGAUUGAACGCUGGCGGCAGGCCUAACACAUGCAAGUCGAGCGGUAGCACAGAGAGCUUGCUCUCGGGUGACGAGCGGCGGACGGGUGAGUAAUGUCUGGGAAACUGCCUGAUGGAGGGGGAUAACUACUGGAAACGGUAGCUAAUACCGCAUAACGUCGCAAGACCAAAGUGGGGGACCUUCGGGCCUCAUGCCAUCAGAUGUGCCCAGAUGGGAUUAGCUAGUAGGUGGGGUAACGGCUCACCUAGGCGACGAUCCCUAGCUGGUCUGAGAGGAUGACCAGCCACACUGGAACUGAGACACGGUCCAGACUCCUACGGGAGGCAGCAGUGGGGAAUAUUGCACAAUGGGCGCAAGCCUGAUGCAGCCAUGCCGCGUGUGUGAAGAAGGCCUUCGGGUUGUAAAGCACUUUCAGCGGGGAGGAAGGCGUUAAGGUUAAUAACCUUGGCGAUUGACGUUACCCGCAGAAGAAGCACCGGCUAACUCCGUGCCAGCAGCCGCGGUAAUACGGAGGGUGCAAGCGUUAAUCGGAAUUACUGGGCGUAAAGCGCACGCAGGCGGUCUGUCAAGUCGGAUGUGAAAUCCCCGGGCUCAACCUGGGAACUGCAUUCGAAACUGGCAGGCUAGAGUCUUGUAGAGGGGGGUAGAAUUCCAGGUGUAGCGGUGAAAUGCGUAGAAAUCUGGAGGAAUACCGGUGGCGAAGGCGGCCCCCUGGACAAAGACUGACGCUCAGGUGCGAAAGCGUGGGGAGCAAACAGGAUUAGAUACCCUGGUAGUCCACGCCGUAAACGAUGUCGAUUUGGAGGUUGUGCCCUUGAGGCGUGGCUUCCGGAGCUAACGCGUUAAAUCGACCGCCUGGGGAGUACGGCCGCAAGGUUAAAACUCAAAUGAAUUGACGGGGGCCCGCACAAGCGGUGGAGCAUGUGGUUUAAUUCGAUGCAACGCGAAGAACCUUACCUGGUCUUGACAUCCACAGAACUUUCCAGAGAUGGAUUGGUGCCUUCGGGAACUGUGAGACAGGUGCUGCAUGGCUGUCGUCAGCUCGUGUUGUGAAAUGUUGGGUUAAGUCCCGCAACGAGCGCAACCCUUAUCCUUUGUUGCCAGCGGUCCGGCCGGGAACUCAAAGGAGACUGCCAGUGAUAAACUGGAGGAAGGUGGGGAUGACGUCAAGUCAUCAUGGCCCUUACGACCAGGGCUACACACGUGCUACAAUGGCAUAUACAAAGAGAAGCGACCUCGCGAGAGCAAGCGGACCUCAUAAAGUAUGUCGUAGUCCGGAUUGGAGUCUGCAACUCGACUCCAUGAAGUCGGAAUCGCUAGUAAUCGUAGAUCAGAAUGCUACGGUGAAUACGUUCCCGGGCCUUGUACACACCGCCCGUCACACCAUGGGAGUGGGUUGCAAAAGAAGUAGGUAGCUUAACCUUCGGGAGGGCGCUUACCACUUUGUGAUUCAUGACUGGGGUGAAGUCGUAACAAGGUAACCGUAGGGGAACCUGCGGUUGGAUCACCUCCUUACCUUAAAGAA
Molecule: ribosomal RNA, 1550 nt
Filed under: Klebsiella pneumoniae
Lineage: Bacteria; Pseudomonadati; Pseudomonadota; Gammaproteobacteria; Enterobacterales; Enterobacteriaceae
Description: bacterial SSU rRNA
Rfam family: Bacterial small subunit ribosomal RNA
Source: RNAcentral